This 1301-nucleotide long non-coding RNA is filed under the name Macaca fascicularis (crab-eating macaque). RNAcentral describes it as "lncRNA (ENSMFAG00000053335.1)". Lineage: Eukaryota; Metazoa; Chordata; Mammalia; Primates; Cercopithecidae. The record is from RNAcentral.
CUGGAUUCGAUUCUGCCUCUCCCCUGAGUUUGUUUUCUUGGUGGGACUAUCCAAGACUAAGGAGAAUGACGCCAUAUUGCUCUCCCUUUCUGAACCCAACCUUGCAGGACGUAUCUGGAUUUAUCCUUUUUAUCAGCAGAAUGAUACAUUUUCCAUAGCAAUGCUUGAACUCUGGUCCGUGAUGCAACAAGCUCCUCCAUGGUGGUAGAGUUUGUUUUUCCUUCAGAAAAUGUGAUUUGCAGAACAACAACAAGAAAACGUUUAAUAGGAAUGGUCCGUUCCCAUGGCCAGUCCUCAUGUAGAGCCACAAGAUGGUGCAGAGGAUGACAUGAAAUGAUGUGCGGGAGCGUGAUUUGCUAACAGGCAGCUCUGUAGGGCUGUAUGUAUUAAUAUUACAUGCAUCGAUAGGAGCGCCUGCUGCAGCUGCCUUUGCCAUAGUGAAUACACUGUGGGUCUAUUAUUCACCUCUUCAGGUCCAGCCCAGGAGUUUGUGUAGGCUCAUUUUUCACUUUCCUUUGACCCUGGAUGUCUCCACAAAUGAACCACCUGCUGUGUCUUGGUGGGGGUGGAGAUGUGGGGUGAAGUAAUGAGCCCACAAGGCCUGUCUGUGCCUAUUGGCUGCUCUAAAGGGAAAUUGAGGAAUACUGCAAAGCUGCAAAUCUGAGAUGUCAGCUCAUAAAUAUGUAAGCUCCUUGCUUAGGUAAUAAGCUCCCUGACAGCCAGAACUGUCAUUUGCACAUUCUCUUCAGCUGAACACAAAAGUUCCGGUUGCCAGACUGCCCCUGGAUACUGGGGACUAAAAGCUGGUGAUUGUGGAGGGGUGGGGGUGUGGGGAGGGGGCGCUGGGCUGACUGCUCUGGCUGCUCCCCACCCGACCGUGCUUUCAUCCCCACCCGACCGUGGUCAGAGGGGGGCUUUCUCUCUUGGUAUUUAAUUAGUAAGUGUAGGCAAAACUUUGCAUUGUGGCACUGGGAUAGGAAAAGAGCUGAACAUGAAUAUAAAAAUGGAGAUGGGGCCAGGUGUGGUGACUCACACCUGUAAUCCCAGCCGUCAAGGUGGGCAGAUCACUUGAGGUCAGGAGUUCGAGACCAGCCUGGUCAAGACGGUGAAAACUCUAUCUCUACUAAAAUACGAGCACAUUAGCCGGGCAUGGUGACACAUGCCCCAGCUAGAGGCAGGGAGACUGAGGCAGGAGAAUUGCUUGAACCCAGGAGGCGGAGGUUGCAGUGAGCCAAGAUUGCACCACUGCACUCUAGCCUGGGUGACAAAGUGAGACUCUGUCUCAAAAAAAAAAAAAAAAA